Non-coding RNA from Caenorhabditis elegans, 21 nucleotides. The record is from Ensembl. Lineage: Eukaryota; Metazoa; Nematoda; Chromadorea; Rhabditida; Rhabditidae.
UGAUGAAAUCAAAGUAUUGCU